CCUACGGGAGGCAGCAGUGAGGAAUAUUGGUCAAUGGGCGCUAGCCUGAACCAGCCACGUCGCGUGAAGGAUGACUGCCCUCUGGGUUGUAAACUUCUUUUAUAUGGGAAUAAAGUGCAGUAUGUAUAUUGCUUUGCAUGUACCUUAUGAAUAAGGAUCGGCUAACUCCGUGCCAGCAGCCGCGGUAAUACGGAGGAUCCGAGCGUUAUCCGGAUUUAUUGGGUUUAAAGGGAGCGUAGGCGGGUUGUUAAGUCAGGUGGGAAAGUUUGCGGCUCAACCGUAAAAUUGCAGUUGAUACUGGCAGCCUUGAGUACAGGAGAGGUAGGCGGAAUUCGUGGUGUAGCGGUGAAAUGCGUAGAUAUCACGAAGAACUCCGAUUGCGAAGGCAGCCUGCUGGACUGUAACUGACGGUGAGGCUCGAAAGUGUGGGGAGCAAACAGGAUUAGAUACCCGAGUAGUC
RNAcentral lists this ribosomal RNA (460 nucleotides) under uncultured bacterium. RNAcentral's name for it is "partial 16S ribosomal RNA". It matches the Rfam family "Bacterial small subunit ribosomal RNA", at positions 338 to 795 of the family's 1533-position model. The record is from RNAcentral.